UAACACUUCUGUUUGUCCUUCUUACGUCAAAGAGCCUUAAUCUUUUAAAUAUGUUUCAUAACCUCCCAGCAUCUGAAAACACCAUAUUAUCUGCAACUUCUGGGCAAAGGAGAAAGGGCUAUGUCUACCACCUUUUGUCCAAUGGAUCCAUGUCCCAAAGUGACUUUGCAAUGGAAGGUGAGAACCUGUUCGUCCCCACCUGGCUGCCAUCCCUGCUCAGCUCUCUUAAUGGGGCAUCCCGUGCUGAGUGAGAUGACAAGGCUUAGAGGCCAGAAGAGGAAUGUCCUACGUGAACGUGAUUUAACAGCUCCAUCGCCUGGGGCCACGUGGAAUUCUUGAAGCAGCUGUGUCAGACAUCCGAGUCAAGUUGGGGCAUGAGUGACCUCUCAACAUCUAAUGGAGCAUUUACUCCUUAGGCAGUUGAUGACAAUAGUUCUCCAAACCUGCUGAUCCCAAGGUGGCAGGUUUCCCGGUCAGCUGUGGCUCUGAAGUAGGAGGGGUUUGCAGGAGUAUCACACACAGCUGUAGAAGGAACAGAAUCAGAGCUGGAGAGGGAGAAUUGCUCCAUGGCCAUGAGUGGGUGUCCUCUCAAGCGGAGCCCCGAGUCCAGUAGAACUUGAGGCUUUUCGCCAACCCACGAAGUGCAGAUGGUAACGCUUGCUGUUGUGUCCCUGAGACUAUAUAGGGCCUAGUGUCUGGUUUAUGCCCUUGCACUGGGUCACUCUCACCCUGGAAUCACCCGGCUGGGGACUGAACCUCUCCUGCCACCACUCCAACUCCUCCUGAGACACUCACCUCCUAAGACACUCACCUCCUGGAAAGGCCACAUCUGUUUGCCAAGGACAGAGGCACCUUCUUUGGUCCAGAGAGCUGCAGGCUGUGGUUUAUUUCGCUGGCGACCUCUUCAUCACCAGGACUGUUCCAUAGAGUGCUGUGGUACCCGUGAAAGCCAAACUUCUAAGCUUCUCAAGUUCAAAUGAUAACUUCUCUCUGUUACCUUUUGUCAAGAAAACUUUGGAUUAUGAAUCUCCGUUAUGGGGGCUCAUAAAAUGAAUUGGGGUGCAUUCAUAGAGUUGGAACACUCUGGAGCCACUGAAAAGAAUGCGGCAAAGCUGUAAAAAGGAAAGAUGUCUGUGAUAUCAUCUAUAUUCUUUUAUGUUGUUAAGUGACAAAAUCCAGCUGUAGAGGAGCAUGAAUUGUUUUAUUCCAUGUUUAUUACAUAAUGAGUGUAGUGUCGGGAAAGCCAUAUACCAAAUUGUUCACAAUGGUUAUCUUGGGGGAGUGGAGCUUGGGAACUUGUACUCUUUGCUUGAUGCAUCUCUGCUUUGUCUCUCUCUUGAAUCAGCAUGAAUAAUUUUUUAAAAUUAGAAAACCUUCUUAUUAAUAUGGAGGUAAAUAUUGGGGCAGUCCAAGAUGGCAGCGGUCUCACGGUGAGGCCCUUGUUUUAUGGGAAGAACAUGAAGGUAGGAGUUUAAGAAACCCGAUUUUUCUCUUAACCAGGGGUUUUUCCUAAUUUUUUGUGCCAUGAUCCCUCAGGACAGUGUGAUGAAGUUUUUGGCUCCCUUCUCAGAACAAUGCCUUAGGGGCAUAACGUGAAAUACGUAGAAUUACAAAAGAAGCCAAAUAUAUUGAAAUAUAGUUAUCAAAAUACUUUUUAAAAAUUUUAUGAUAUAGUAAUAUAUGUGUAUUAAAAUAUAAGAUCUGGCUGCAGGUCUAAUAACGAUUUAAUUUAAAACUAGCCAUGAGCAUAAGUGAUAUUUUGAGAAAUCUGCAACAGCUGAAUAUUGCAUGAAAAUGUCUGUGACUUCUGGUGACAAAGUCAGAUGUGCUAGUGCUACUGUGGUUUGUCACCUUCUUCAUAAAUGAAGAAAAUGCUAGAUUGUAGUUAGAGGUAGUGAAAAUAAAGACGUAAUUUCCCAUCCAAUAUCAUAGAUCCCUGUUUAAAUUUCCCAGCCUAACAUCUAAUGUUCUUAACUGGCUGGGAAGUGUUGAAUAAUAUUGUUCCCGCCCUCACAGUCUCAACUGUUUCAUCAGUAAAAUGAGGGGCUAAGUGAUGGCAAAUGUGUAUGAUCUUACAUGUCAACUGUGAUUGAUUGGUAGUGACUUGGUGAGGCAUUUUGAGAUCACCUCUGAGUUCAAUUGGAAAGGAUGCCAAUUGGAAAGGAUGAAUGAUUGGUGAUGUCUGCCAUGGGUACUAGAUGGGGGAGAGAGCAAAGCGUGCAUGGCGUACAUGUCCAUUCCUUGACUAGAUGAGCCUGUGGCCCCUUCCACCUCUGAUAUUCUACUAUGUAUGAAAGUAAUUAUUCUCUUCUGAUUCUAAUUUAACAUAUCUCCUGUCCAACAACAAGAGCAACAACACAAGCAUUGGUUAGCCCUUCCUGGGGGCUUUGUGUGUGUGUGGCAUUGGCACUACCAACUCUACCCCUGUGGACCAAGUCUUCUGAUAGACUUUUUAUUAAGUAAAAUUGUAAGCAUUACCUCCAGUUUCAAUGAUAGAAUGGUUACUGGGAACAGAUUGUCUAGGAAGAAAACACAAAUUAGUAAACACAGUCUUACAAAUGAGCCAUCUGGAGAUUUAUUUACAUAAGAAAAGAGGAAGGACUUGGUAUUUUCAUGCUGGGGUUUGUUUCUCUUGCAAGUAGCCACAGGGGUGUAUUUAUCACGAGCACACAUUGAGCUUUUUAGUGAAGAUCACUGAAAGCAUGAAAAAAAAAUGCGCAUUUGGUUGGUUAUUUGGGAAAUGGGAAGGAAGAGAAGGGAGAGAGUAAGAGAGUCACACAUACACAUAUGCACACAAAGUUUUUGAAUGAAUUUUAGCAUAUAAGAUUUCAAAAUAGUUACAAUAUUUCACACCGUGCUUUUGAAAUUUUAUAUUAUUCCCAAAGUGCUAAAUGAGAAACAUUUUUCUAAAACAAUAUCAAAGGUGGAGGCAUUCAGCUAUCACGCAAAUAUAGAGGGGCCACGAAUAAUGCUGAGGGGACCAAAACCUUGACACCAGUUGACCAGCAGUGGGAACAGUGAUCCCUUGACCUCAGAGAGCUCCCUGGGUGUCAGACCAGCUCUGCAGAACCACUUAACCCCUCCUGCACCUUGUCCUUUUAUCCACUAAUACUAAAUGCCAAAAACUAAAAAACCCAAAUUUGUGAUACAGUGAUAUAUGUGCUCUUUCAAUGCAUUAAAAUACAAGAUCUAGCUGUAGGUCUGAUAACUACUAUCAUUUAGAAUUAGC
Molecule: long non-coding RNA, 3229 nt
Filed under: Homo sapiens (human)
Lineage: Eukaryota; Metazoa; Chordata; Mammalia; Primates; Hominidae
Description: HSALNT0169182
Source: RNAcentral